This 45-nucleotide non-coding RNA is filed under the name Trichobilharzia regenti. The record is from RNAcentral. Lineage: Eukaryota; Metazoa; Platyhelminthes; Trematoda; Strigeidida; Schistosomatidae.
AUCCAGGCGACGAAUUCAAAAUAGAACGAAAUGCGCAUUCUGGAU